Molecule: ribosomal RNA, 400 nt
Filed under: uncultured Pseudomonadota bacterium
Lineage: Bacteria; Pseudomonadati; Pseudomonadota
Description: bacterial SSU rRNA
Rfam family: Bacterial small subunit ribosomal RNA
Source: RNAcentral
AGCUGGUCUGAGAGGAUGACCAGCCACACUGGAACUGAGACACGGUCCAGACUCCUACGGGAGGCAGCAGUGGGGAAUAUUGCACAAUGGGCGCAAGCCUGAUGCAGCCAUGCCGCGUGUAUGAAGAAGGCCUUCGGGUUGUAAAGUACUUUCAGCGGGGAGGAAGGGAGUAAAGUUAAUACCUUUGCUCAUUGACGUUACCCGCAGAAGAAGCACCGGCUAACUCCGUGCCAGCAGCCGCGGUAAUACGGAGGGUGCAAGCGUUAAUCGGAAUUACUGGGCGUAAAGCGCACGCAGGCGGUUUGUUAAGUCAGAUGUGAAAUCCCCGGGCUCAACCUGGGACUGCAUCUGAUACUGGCAAGCUUGAGUCUCGUAGAGGGGGGUAGAAUUCCAGGUGUAG